Molecule: ribosomal RNA, 497 nt
Filed under: uncultured bacterium
Lineage: Bacteria
Description: partial 16S ribosomal RNA
Rfam family: Bacterial small subunit ribosomal RNA
Source: RNAcentral
GAUGAACGCUGGCGGCGUGCCUAAUACAUGCAAGUCGAGCGAACAGACGAGGAGCUUGCUCCUCUGACGUUAGCGGCGGACGGGUGAGUAACACGUGUAUAACCUACCUAUAAGACUGGGAUAACUUCGGGAAACCGGAGCUAAUACCGGAUAAUAUAUUGAACCGCAUGGUUCAAUAGUGAAAGACGGUUUUGCUGUCACUUAUAGAUGGUUCCGCGCCGCAUUAGCUAGUUGGUAAGGUAACGGCUUACCAAGGCAACGAUGCGUAGCCGACCUGAGAGGGUGAUAGGCCACACUGGAACUGAGACACGGUCCAGACUCCUACGGGAGGCAGCAGUAGGGAAUCUUCCGCAAUGGGCGAAAGCCUGACGGAGCAACGCCGCGUGAGUGAUGAAGGUCUUCGGAUCGUAAAACUCUGUUAUGAGGGAAGAACAAAUGUGUAAGUAACUGUGCACGUCUUGACGGUACCUAAUCAGAAAGCCACGGCUAACUACGUG